This 24-nucleotide non-coding RNA is filed under the name Arabidopsis thaliana (thale cress). The record is from RNAcentral. Lineage: Eukaryota; Viridiplantae; Streptophyta; Magnoliopsida; Brassicales; Brassicaceae.
UCAUCUACUCUUGUUCUUGACGAA